GUGCAGCUCUCCUCGUGUCGGAGACGCUGAGUCAGUUCUCUACUGGUCUUGCCCUCUUCCGGAAAAAGAAAACACACCUGAGAAGUGGUAGUUCCUAUCCUAACCUACUGGGGCCCUUUAUACCAGGUGCCAAACUUCAUUAUCCACCCCACCACCUUGCCCGGGAGGGAGAUCUGUGAAAGCGAAACGUGAUUUAAGCUGGGAUCUGGCAGCAACUUCGUGGACUCUGAAGGGCACGUGGGAAAGGAGUUUUGAUUGAAGGGUCUUGUUCUGUCACCUAGGCUGGAGUGGCAUGAUCAUGGCUCACUGCAACUUCUGCCUCCCUGGCUCCCAGCCUCAAGUGAUCCUCCCACUCCAGUCCCCUGAAGCAACUGGGACCACAGAGUAAUUUUAUGCUGAUUGAAGAAAAGAAGUAAACAGAGUUCCAGAAAGCAACUGCAAAUACUCAUUUUGAAAAAGAAAACAAAACAAAAACAAGGGAGACAUUUUAAAAGGUGCUAAAGCAACAGGACCAGUUGCCAGAGAGCUUAUUUUACCUCCCCAAAACAAGAUUGGUGUUUCAUCCUUGAGUUUAGUACACAGGAUUGUUCUUAUUCUUCUGCAGAUAGAGAGGUGCACUGCUUUAUGCUGCAAGUUGUCUAUAAGACAAGUUUUGUGAGUAUCAAAUAUUUGUAAGCAAAUCAAAUUUCUCCCCCAGUUGAAAUGAUUAUUUCAGAAGAAUUUCUUCUUUGUUUUGAAUUGGACUUCUGAGUUGGACUUCUCAGCAUGAUAAAGAAGAAAGAGCAUUAGAAUAAGAAAGAAGAUUAAGCUUCUUGUUUUGAUUAUGCCCAUAAUCAGCUGUGGGACCCCGGGCUAAUGCACUCCAAAAUCCCACUGUUCUGUGACCUUGCUAUGUGGGGCAUCAGCCUCCUCAUCUCUAAUAUUUUGGAUUUAAGUUAGUUGAUUUUUAUGGUCCCGCAAUGGAAUUCUUUAAACAACUCCACUAAUCCAUGAUACUGUUGCUUUAAAAAUCUUGGUUUUAGCUUUCCUCUAAGGAAUUUAUAGUGACAAUUAUCUACUUUUUUUUUCUUAAAUAAAAAUAGAGGUGGGGUUUUGCCAUGUUGCCCAGGCUGGUCUCAAACUCUUGGGCUCAAGUGAUCUGCCCACCUUGGCCUCCUAAAGUGCUGGGAUGACAGGUGUGAGCCACUGUACCCGGCCAGACCAUAUGUCUCUAGCAUUUUGAUAACAUUCUCUACAAUCUGGGCCCUGUAUAACUCCCCAGUCUUCAGACUACUACUCUCUAUGCUCACAUCUUUGGCGAUUUUAUACUCUUUGCCAAUUUAGAUGCCAUUUGUUUUUUCGUUUCCAGUAGAUUAGUAUGUCCAACCCAGAUUUUGGUAAACCCUAGACUCAUUCUACAGUCUGUGACAUCUCCAUUUGGAUUUCUUAUUGGCAUCUCAGACUCCAUAUGUCUAACCUGGAAUGCCUGAUCUCCAUUGCCUCCUAAACCGGCUUCUCUCACGGCUCUCCCAUCUCGGGGCCCAGCAUCUCAGACCUUUGCCUUGCUUACACCAGACAUUUUGUUGUUAUCUGUACCACCUCCUUCUCGUGCAGUCUACUUGAUGCCACCUAAUUGGUAUCCCUGGCUUCUGCCCUUGUUCUCUUAACGAAUCAUUUUCCAAACAGCAGCCAGAGUGAUCCUUUCAAAAAUGGAUUCAGAAAUCAUGUCACUGCUCUGCCCAAAGUUCCCAAAUGACUUCCCAGUCACUCAGAGCACAAGCUGACGCUCGACACAUCUGGGCCCCGUAAGAUUUUCAUUUCUGCUCCUCCUCCUUUUGCUCACUCUGCCCCUGCCACAUUGGUCUCCUGCUUUCCCGGAACUUGCCCAACAUGUUCCUCCCUCAGGGCCUUCACAUUUGUCAUUUCCUGUCCUAUGAUGCUCUUCCUGCAGAUAUCUACAGCAGCUCCCCGCUGCUCCUUUUGCAGGUUUUUGUUCAGAUGUCAUCUUCCUGGUGAGCUCUUCCCUGAACAACUCCUCACCCCCUCCACCUUGCCCCUGGGACUCCCUUUGACCUUUCUCGGAUUGUUUUCCCUGUAACUCUUGCCACCACCUCAUACAGGGCUUCUCAAGCUUGGCAUGAUUGGCAUUUUGGGACAGUUCUUUGUUGCGGGCUAUUAUCCUGUGCCUUGCAGGAUGUUUAGCAGCAUCACCACCCUCGACCCACUCAAUACCUGCAACUUUCCUCCCUAGGUUGUGACAGCCAGAAAUGUCUCCAGACACUGCCAAAUGUCUCCUGGGGGACAAAACCACCCCUGGUUGAGAAUCUUUGAUAUAAUGUAAAUAUGCAUUUUACCUAUGUAUUUGUUUAUUGUUCCUCCCUUCCCCACCAAUAAAAUAUAAUCUCCAUGAGAACAGGAAUUUUUGUGUCUAUUUUCCACUGAUGUAAUGCAGGCACUCUGAAUAGGGUAUGAUGCAUAGUAGGUGCUCAAACAGAUAUUUCAC
RNAcentral lists this long non-coding RNA (2482 nucleotides) under Homo sapiens (human). RNAcentral's name for it is "PREDICTED lncRNA (TCONS_00010079)". Lineage: Eukaryota; Metazoa; Chordata; Mammalia; Primates; Hominidae. The record is from RNAcentral.